RNAcentral lists this transfer RNA (70 nucleotides) under Anguilla anguilla (European eel). RNAcentral describes it as "tRNA-OTHER". The record is from RNAcentral. Lineage: Eukaryota; Metazoa; Chordata; Actinopteri; Anguilliformes; Anguillidae.
GGUGGGGUGGUGCAGUGGGUAGCACUUUCGCCUCACAGCACUGGUCCUGGGUUCGAAUCCAGCCUGGGCC